Molecule: ribosomal RNA, 253 nt
Filed under: uncultured bacterium
Lineage: Bacteria
Description: partial 16S ribosomal RNA
Rfam family: Bacterial small subunit ribosomal RNA
Source: RNAcentral
UACAGAGGGUGCAAGCGUUAAUCGGAAUUACUGGGCGUAAAGCGCACGUAGGUGGCUUGAUAAGUUGGGUGUGAAAUCCCCGAGCUUAACUUGGGAAUUGCAUUCAAGACUGUCUUGCUAGAGUGUGGAAGAGGGAAGCGGAAUUCCAGGUGUAGCGGUGAAAUGCGUAGAUAUCUGGAGGAACAUCAGUGGCGAAGGCGGCUUCCUGGUCCAACACUGACACUGAGGUGCGAAAGCGUGGGGAGCAAACAGG